GACGAACGCUGGCGGCGUGCUUAACACAUGCAAGUCGAACGGAAAGGCCCUGCUUUUGUGGGGUGCUCGAUUGGCGAACGGGUGAGUAACACGUGAGUAACCUGCCCUUGACUUUGGGAUAACUUCAGGAAACUGGGGCGAAUACCGAAUAGGAUCUCCUGCUGCAUGUUGGGGGUUGGAAAGUUUCGGCCGUUGGGGAUGGACUCGAGGGUUAUCAGCUUGUUGGGGGGGUAGUUGCUUACCAAGGCUUUGACGGGUAGCCUGCAUGGGAGGGUUACCGGGGACAUUGGGCCUGAGGUACGGACCAGUAUCCUACGGGCGGCAGCAGGCGGAAAUAUUGCACAAUGGGCGGAAGCCUGAUGCAGCAACGCCGCGUGCGGGAUGACGGCUUUCGGGUUGUAAACAGCUUUCGACUGUGACGAAGCGUGCGUGACGGUAAUGGGUAAAGAAGCCCCGGCUAACUACGUG
RNAcentral lists this ribosomal RNA (468 nucleotides) under uncultured bacterium. RNAcentral describes it as "partial 16S ribosomal RNA". It matches the Rfam family "Bacterial small subunit ribosomal RNA", at positions 28 to 507 of the family's 1533-position model. The record is from RNAcentral.